AAAAUGACCAAAAUAGCAUUUUAUGUUUUGAAAAAUUUAAAUUUUUUUUUAUUUUUCAAAAUUUGAAAUCUUAUCCCAAACCCCAACUCUAAACCCUAAAACCUAAACUCUAAACCCUAAACCCUAAACUCUAAACCCAAAACCCUAAACCCCACCCCUUAACUCUAAACCCUAAACCCCACCCCUAAACUUUAAACUCUAAACCCUAAACCCUAAACCCUAAACUCUAAACCCUAAACCAUAAACCCUAAAUAAAAAACCCCACCCCU
Molecule: long non-coding RNA, 269 nt
Filed under: Brassica napus (rape)
Lineage: Eukaryota; Viridiplantae; Streptophyta; Magnoliopsida; Brassicales; Brassicaceae
Description: long non-coding RNA (BNAP_LNC014329)
Source: RNAcentral